CGGGCAUUAGCGCAGUUGGUAGCGCGCUUGGUUUGGGACCAAGAUGUCGCCUGUUCAAGUCAGGCAUGCCCGA
This 73-nucleotide transfer RNA is filed under the name Treponema sp. RNAcentral describes it as "tRNA-Pro". It matches the Rfam family "tRNA". Rfam says of the family: Transfer RNA (tRNA) molecules are approximately 80 nucleotides in length. The record is from RNAcentral. Lineage: Bacteria; Pseudomonadati; Spirochaetota; Spirochaetia; Treponematales; Treponemataceae.